Molecule: ribosomal RNA, 484 nt
Filed under: uncultured bacterium
Lineage: Bacteria
Description: partial 16S ribosomal RNA
Rfam family: Bacterial small subunit ribosomal RNA
Source: RNAcentral
GACGAACGCUGGCGGCGUGCUUAACACAUGCAAGUCGAACGAUGAAGCUGGAGCUUGCUCCGGUGGAUUAGUGGCGAACGGGUGAGUAACACGUGAGAAAUCUGCCCUCCACUCUGGGAUAACUGCGGGAAACUGUAGCUAAUACCGGAUACUUUCCCUGGUGGGCAUCCACUAGGGAUGAAAGAAUUUCGGUGAAGGAUGAUCUCGCGGCCUAUCAGCUAGUUGGUGCGGUAAUGGCUCACCAAGGCGACGACGGGUAGCCGGCCUGAGAGGGUGACCGGCCACACUGGGACUGAGACACAGCCCAGACUCCUACGGGAGGCAGCAGUGGGGAAUAUUGCACAAUGGGCGAAAGCCUGAUGCAGCAACGCCGCGUGAGGGAUGAAGGCCUUCGGGUUGUAAACCUCUUUUAGCAGGGAAGAAGCGAAAGUGACGGUACCUGCAGAAAAAGCACCGGCUAACUACGUGCCAGCCGCCGCCGUAA